RNAcentral lists this non-coding RNA (104 nucleotides) under Maridesulfovibrio hydrothermalis AM13 = DSM 14728. RNAcentral describes it as "Desulfovibrio hydrothermalis AM13 = DSM 14728 TPP". It matches the Rfam family "TPP riboswitch aptamer (THI element)". Rfam says of the family: Vitamin B(1) in its active form thiamin pyrophosphate (TPP) is an essential coenzyme that is synthesised by coupling of pyrimidine and thiazole moieties in bacteria. The record is from RNAcentral. Lineage: Bacteria; Pseudomonadati; Thermodesulfobacteriota; Desulfovibrionia; Desulfovibrionales; Desulfovibrionaceae.
UUUGCCAGCUAGGGGUGCCUAUUCAGGCUGAGAUGGCGUUUUACGCCUGACCCUUUGAACCUGACGCGGGUAAUCCUGCCGUAGGGAAGCAUCAAUAGAUUCUA